Molecule: long non-coding RNA, 125 nt
Organism: Sinocyclocheilus grahami
Lineage: Eukaryota; Metazoa; Chordata; Actinopteri; Cypriniformes; Cyprinidae
Exons: 3
Source: RefSeq, a predicted model, not a curated record
CUGCGCUUUGACAUAUAUGACAUUGACUCCAAAAGUCCUGAUCUAGCCAAACACCUGUGCAAAACUGAAGAAGAGGUGAGAUUAAAAUCUCUCUUUGACUUAUAAUAGUACAAGAAAACAGGUUC